Molecule: long non-coding RNA, 283 nt
Organism: Ailuropoda melanoleuca (giant panda)
Lineage: Eukaryota; Metazoa; Chordata; Mammalia; Carnivora; Ursidae
Exons: 3
Source: RefSeq, a predicted model, not a curated record
CAGUGGAAGGAGCUAGAACGUGCUGCCACACUAGGUGGGGGAGUAGGGGAUGAUACUGCCCCACGCUAGCCCUCGGUCCCUGCAGGGGCCCUUCUCCUCUUGGUUGUGUGAUUGGAUUCCAGGAUCCCUUGAUCCAGAGAAAGGACAGAGCUGUCACUCCUAAGGUUCCUGAGCUCACUGAGGUACCAGGAGGCCAACACGAUGAGGUUGUGGAAUAUAGGAAGAGUUCAUGGUCAGAUGAGCUUGGGAACCACUGUUGCCCUUCCUCCCCCCUCUUCAGCAG